GGGGGUGUCGGUUGGCGCUCUCACAGGGAGCGGUGAUGGCGACGUACGUGAGCGAGCUGGAGGCGGCCAAGAAGAGCCUGAGCGAGGCGCUGGGCGAGAAUGUGAAGCAGUACUGGGCCAACUUGAAACUCUGGUUCAAGCAAAAGAUCAGUAAGGAGGAGUUUGACCUGGAAGCACGCAGGCUUCUCACGCAAGACAAUGUCCACUCUCACAACGAUUUCCUCCUGGCUAUUCUUACCCGAUGCCAGAUCUUGGUUUCUGCACCAGAAGGUGCUGGAUCUCUGCCGUGGCCAGGUGGCUCUGCAACUAAACCUGGAAAACCCAAAGGAAAGAAAAAGAUUUCUUCGGUUCGACAAAAGUUUGAUCACCGGUUCCAGCCUCAGAAUCCGCUCUCUGGAGCCCAGCAAUUUGUGGCAAAGGAUCCUCAGGAGGAUGAUGACUUGAAGCUGUGUUCUCACACCAUGAUGCUUCCUACACGUGGCCAGUUAGAAGGAAGGAUGAUUGUAACUGCGUAUGAGCACGGCCUAGACAAUGUCACAGAGGAGGCAGUGACCGCAGUUGUUUAUGCUGUGGAGAACCAUCUUAAGGAUAUUCUGACAUCUGUGAUAUCCAGGCGGAAAGCCUAUCGUCUGAGAGAUGGCCAUUUCAAGUAUGCCUUUGGAAGCAAUGUUAACCCGCAGCCAUAUCUGAAGAACAGUGUUGUGGCUUAUAACAAUUUAAUUGAGUGCCCUCCAAACUGUGCGACACCUUCUGCUGGUCAGAGUCUAACUCCCCAGCCCCCGCCUGAUGAUGCUGAGCAGCAGGCAGCUCUACUCCUAGCGUGCUCUGGAGACACCUUGCCAGCGUCCCUCCCGCCAGUGAACAUGUAUGACCUUUUUGAGGCAUUACAGGUGCACAAAGAAGUUAUUCCUGCGCACACUGUCUAUGCUCUAAACAUUGAGAGAAUUGUCAUGAAACUUUGGCAUCCAAACCACGAGGAGCUACAGCAGGAUAAAAUCCAUCGCCAGCGCCUGGCAGCAAAGGAGGGCAUUCUACUCUGCUAGAGCUAGGCAGCCCUGUCAGGCCUCAGGUGGCUACGGUGCUAUUCCUUGGACUUGACAUUCAGAUGCUUCUUGCAAACCUGUGUCAGCAUUUCAAGGAUGACACAGUUCCAGCUGUCAGACCUGGCUUAAGUCUGAUCAAGCCUUUACAGCUGGGUGCCAAGGAUCCUAGAGAUGUGAAUGUAGCCCUCCUCAACACCCCUAAAUAGCCAAACUCUUGCUGCCAAGACUGGUGACCAGGAAAGAUUUUUCUCAUUGCUGGUUCACAGCAGAAGCCUGGAGCAUAGCACUUGCUAUCAAACAUGGACUGCACUGCCUUUCUCUUAGCUUAACUGCUCGUAUGUCCCUUCCCAGCCUUCCCACUCUUCUGCAGCCGAGGUGGACUUUUUUGGUUGUUGUCCCAGUUCUUCCUUCCUAGCAGAAUAAUCCCCCUGUUGUAGGAAGCUGGGAUUGGGUGUGAUGCAAAGAGUGGGCCCUCUGUUUGAGGUCCAGAAACUGUGUGCCAGCAGUGCCUAAAAAUACAGAUUCUGGUUUCUCAAUAGAGAAAAAUCUAAACUAGUGACUUUGUACCACCUUCUUCCUACUCGACCUCUAGGAAACUUCUGGCAAAGAGAGGAAAAUGAGGAAAUGAGACUGCUUGCAUUUAAGAAGAAACCACAUGCACUGCAUUUCUGUCCUUAACCGUGAAUGCCCAAGAGCCCCAAACUGGGUUUGCAGAAAUGAUCUGCUGUCCAGCCAAGCGAAAACAAUACCAAGAAAGGAGACCUCCUUUUGUCCUCCUGGGGUGGAAGGAAGCGUGUGACCUAUUGCUGCAGUCUGAUGUCAAAGAAGAAAGUCUCCACAGAAGAGGGGCUGCCUUCCCAGUUCUGAGAAUGCAGCUGCAGAGAGGGGUGGUAGUGGCUGUUCCCUGUCAGGGACUUGUAGGUGAUAAUGGAUGUGUCUUGCUGGCCUGAAGUCAUGUGCAGAAGGGUUUGCAGCAGUGCUGCAGCAGUAGCAUGAUGCCAGCAAGCUCUUCUCCCAGCGAGAGGCACGACUCGUGCUGCUAGAGGAGGGCUUCGGCAGUGUAACUUCAACAGGCUCCUAAGAAGUAAAUAAUUUCUCAGAGCCGAAAGGUUUCCUUGUGGUGUUGCCUUUCUUCACCAGUGUGGUUACUGGUGUGGUCUGGUUGGCAGGAGGAGAGGACGAAUUCACCAGCCUGCCUUGCAGUUACUGCAGAAAAGAGCUUUAUGUGUAGCUGUGGCUGUAGCCUGGGGCAGGCAGGGAAACCAGACAGCGUCAGGCAAGCGCACCCUUUGUGUCCCUGAGGUCAGUAUUCGCCAAACCUUGAGGCAAGCACAGCUCUGUGUGCUCUAGACACUGCAGGCUGAAGGGACUGUUGCAGGCUUGGCACCCCUCAGGCUUGUUUGCCUAGCAGCAAACGGUUAACAAAGUGUGCAAAGUCAGGGCACAAACACUACUGUCUGCCUUCCUCAGGUGUACAGAGACCAUAGUUCACACUGAGAUCAGGGCACCGCAGCUGCCUCCAAGACUUUGCAUCUUCUGAGGAGUCCUGUUAAGCGUCCUGGGCAUCCCCAUGCAGACCCAGCUCUGGGUGGGGUUGUGCAGCAAUGACAGGAACAUGGUGCAGAUUUCUUUCUGGGUCAAGCACAGGCUGCUGAUGACCACUGAGCUGCUGCUGUAACCCGCUUCCAGCCCUGAGUUUGAUUAUGGUCCAAGGUCCUGAUUAGAUGA
RNA transcript from Haliaeetus leucocephalus (bald eagle), 2771 nucleotides. It is a transcript of the gene named transcriptional adaptor 1, with no coding region annotated. NCBI's taxonomy places the organism in Eukaryota, Metazoa, Chordata, Aves, Accipitriformes, Accipitridae. The record is from RefSeq and is a predicted model, not a curated record. The transcript is spliced from 9 exons.